UACAGAGGUCUCAACCGUUGUUCGGAUUCAUUGGGCGUAAAGGGUGCGUAGGCGGUCGCGCAAGUCGGAUGUGAAAUCUCAGGGCUCAACCCUGAAACUGCAUUCGAUACUGCGUGGCUAGAGUGCUGGAGAGGAGACUGGAAUUUACGGUGUAGCAGUGAAAUGCGUAGAGAUCGUAAGGAAGACCAGUGGCGAAGGCGGGUCUCUGGACAGUUCCUGACACUGAGGCACGAAGGCCAGGGGAGCAAACGGG
RNAcentral lists this ribosomal RNA (253 nucleotides) under uncultured bacterium. RNAcentral's name for it is "partial 16S ribosomal RNA". It matches the Rfam family "Bacterial small subunit ribosomal RNA", at positions 524 to 776 of the family's 1533-position model. The record is from RNAcentral.